GGAGCGUUCUGUAAGCCGUUGAAGGUGUGUUGUAAAGCAUGCUGGAGGUAUCAGAAGUGCGAAUGCUGACAUGAGUAACGACAAGGGGGGUGAAAAACCUCCCCGCCGGAAGACCAAGGGUUCCUGUCCAACGUUAAUCGGGGCAGGGUAAGUCGACCCCUAAGGCGAGGCCGAAAGGCGUAGUCGAUGGGAAACGGGUUAAUAUUCCCGUACUUCUUACAAUUGCGAUGGGGGGACGGAGAAGGCUAGGUGGGCCUGGCGACGGUUGUCCAGGUUCAAGUGCGUAGGCUUGAGGGUUAGGUAAAUCCGGCUCUCUCUAAGGCUGAGACACGACGUCGAGCUACUACGGUAGUGAAGUCAUUGAUGCCAUGCUUCCAGGAAAAGCCUCUAAGCUUCAGAUUGUAAGGAAUCGUACCCCAAACCGACACAGGUGGUCGGGUAGAGAAUACCAAGGCGCUUGAGAGAACUCGGGUGAAGGAACUAGGCAAAAUGGUACCGUAACUU
RNAcentral lists this ribosomal RNA (504 nucleotides) under Vibrio fluvialis. RNAcentral's name for it is "partial 23S ribosomal RNA". It matches the Rfam family "Bacterial large subunit ribosomal RNA", at positions 1233 to 1736 of the family's 2925-position model. Lineage: Bacteria; Pseudomonadati; Pseudomonadota; Gammaproteobacteria; Vibrionales; Vibrionaceae. The record is from RNAcentral.